GGAGCCUCGGUCCCCAUGGAGAUGGAGUGUGCCACCCUCGCAGCAUGCAGAUGUGUGCACCAGCCCACAAGCUCUCUGCACUGCAGGCUUGGGGAUUUGCUGGAGGAUUAGAUAAGAGAUGGAGCAUUCUCCUAUCUCCAGCCCCUCUCCGUUAUCUGGAGAGGGGGUAUAGCUGAAGUUCCAAGCUUCUAAUCCAUGGUUUGGUCUUUCUAGUGACCAACUCCCAUUCUGAAGCUAUCUAGGAAUUCACCAAGCGUUGUCUCAUUAGAACAAAAGACACUCCUGUCAUCUAGGAAAUUCCAGGCAGUUUAGGAGCUUUGUGUCAGGAAUCGGUGUCAAAGACCAAAUAUCAGAACACCAAGAUUCGUUUAGUGCUCUUAUCACUUAGGAAAUUACAAGAGUUUUAGGAGCUCUGUGCAAGAACUGGGGAUGGGGACCAUUAUAUGUAUUUUUUAUAUUUUAUAUUAGCAGUAGUAAUUUAAAACAGGGAAAAGGAGUUACUGUUGUGCCUCAGAGGUAAUGAACCUGACUACUGUCCAUGAGGAUGCAGGUUCAAUGGCCUUGCUCAGUGGGUUAAGGGUCCAGCAUUGCCAUGAGUUGUGGUGUAGGUCACAGAUGCUGCUCAGAUCUGGCGUGGCUGUGGCUUAGGCCAGCAGCUGCAGCUCAGAUUCAACCCUUAGCCUAGGAACAUCCAUAUGGCACAGGUUGGCUCUUUAAAAAAAAAACAAAAAACACAGGGAAAUUAGAAACAAUCUAUAUAUCCAAUUUAUUACCUAAGUGGUUGGGAUAAACAGUUUGGCCUUUCUAUGGAAUAUUAUGCAUCCAUUAAAAUAAUGAUAAAGACUAUGCAGCAUUAUAAAAAUGUUAUAAUAAGCAAAUCCACAUUUCAAUAUAUAAUAAAUUAAAUGCUUAUGGUUUAUAAGAAAGAUACAGCAUUAAGAUGAGGAAAAUACAUGAAAUAUUGAUGUAUUGUGGUGAAAUAGUAUAACAUUUUUUCCAGAUUUUUUAUUUUAUGAUGAAGGGAAAAAAAAAAAUCUCUAAACUUUCCUGGUAUUCCUUGCUGUUGAAAGACAUGGCACCCUUUUUAAAAAUUUUAACUUAUGCUUUAGUUCUAGUAGUACUAAGUUUUUGGAAACCAGCUUCAUUUAUUAAUUUUUUUUUUUUUGUCUUUUGUCUUUUUAGGGCUGCACCCAUGGCAUAUGGAGGUUCCCAGGCUAGGGGUCUAAUUGGAGCUGUAGCCGCUGGCUUACACCAGAGCCACAGCAACACUAGAUUCGAGCCACGUCUGCAACCUACAUCACAGCUCAUGGCAAUACCAGAUCCUCAACCCACUGAGCGAGGCCAGGGACUGAACCCGCAACCUCAUGGUUCCUAGUCGGAUUCCUUAACCACUGCACCACGACGGGAACUCCUCAUUUAUUAAAUUGGAAUCAAAUAUUUCUAGCUCAAUAUUCAACAGUUCUAGUAAGGGAAAUAUGACACAUCUGACCCUUAAAUAUAACUGUCACAGCUUCUCCAUUCAUUGUUAAUCUGUACAAAUAAAAAACUGAAGACAUUAUGGAUCCUAGGACUAAUGGCUGAGAUUGAGGGUGCAAGGUUAAUCUCUUGGUUUCCAAGGAAAGUACUUCCUUUCAUUGUCCCCUGGUGGUAUCUACUGUGGGAUGGAGAACAAGAUUUGGAGAGCUUAGAAUUGGCAUGUGAAUUCUAUUGGCUCUGGUACAGGCUGUUGGGACUUCCUCCUGUAUUUUUGAAAGAAAUAUUUUGAAAGAGGAGUGGUUCCUUAGCUCUGCUGGGGCCUCAUCUUGGAACUUGGUGCCUCUCUGGCUAUCACAGCGAUGAGGGAUGCUGAGCCAGCACAGAGAGCUGGACAGGAGUUGGAGCUCACAUCAAAUGUGGGCAAGUAUGAACCCACAGCUUGGGAAAGGAUGAACUGGAAUGUGGGGUUGGAGGAUAAGGGGGGGCUUGGGUGCUGGGGGUAGUUGGGAGGAGCUUGUGACACAUGUCCCAAAUAAGGUCCUUAGAUGGUGAUGGGAAAACUGGGUCAGGCUUGCUCAUCUAACCCUCUCAAAAACUCUACAAGAUAGGACCUGGUAUUAUCCAUGUUUUUCACUACAAAACUUAGAGAGGUUAAGACAUUUGCCCAAAAGUAAGAGUGUUAGGAUGUAACUAGGAGCUGGGACUUGAACUUCCCUGUCUCUAGGACCCUUGUUUCUCACCCCCACACUCUAGGUCCUAUCUGAGCUCUUUAUGUGGCUUUUCUCAUCUUCAGUGGACAGAAAAAAGAAAUGCACCUUGGGGUUGAGGAUCAAGACAAAUACUUUAGUAAGAAAGGCACUGGCAAUUAGAGAGAACUCAAAAGGACUUUGAGGUUUCCCGACCUCCUGCAGGAGGGUAAUGAUUAUGUGAUGUAACCCACAUUCUUGCCUGACUUCUGGAAAUUAAAAAAAAAA
RNAcentral lists this long non-coding RNA (2450 nucleotides) under Sus scrofa (pig). RNAcentral's name for it is "lncRNA (ENSSSCG00045038548.1)". Lineage: Eukaryota; Metazoa; Chordata; Mammalia; Artiodactyla; Suidae. The record is from RNAcentral.